RNAcentral lists this long non-coding RNA (712 nucleotides) under Homo sapiens (human). RNAcentral's name for it is "HSALNT0392254". The record is from RNAcentral. Lineage: Eukaryota; Metazoa; Chordata; Mammalia; Primates; Hominidae.
CCUCGGCCAGGCCCCGGCAGCAGAAGGGAGGCAGCUGUGCUGCAAACUACUGGAGUCCGGACAUGCAGGACCGCAGGCUGCAGGCUCCCAUUUGGCAGAAAGGACUUUUGCUGAAAUCCCCAGCGGGGCACUCGACCCCUCUAGUGGGUUGUGCCAUGCACUCCAUUGUCGCCGCCCCCGACCGGCCCCUGGCACCGUGUCCCUCCUACCUGAGCAGGCUCUGACUCCAGCCCUGGACACAGCUGGGGUGGCCACGGUGACUGCUGAGAAGAGGGGCUGUCCACACAGCCUGGUGGCUUGGAGCCCCGGGACCCCCACACCUGGGUCAGGGUGGGGCCGGAUGAGCUGCAGGCCUCUCGCAUGCCAUGUCCUCCUCCUCCUCCAAGGCAGGCGCCCGACAGCCCCGUGUGCAGGAGACGCACAGCACUCACCGACCCCAGGCGUGACUACGUUUGAGGCAACCAUGAAGGCUUCAGACAUUCAAACUUCUUAAUAGACCAGGCGUGGUGGCUCACGCCUGGAAUCCCAGCACUUUGGGAGGCUGAGCUUUCCUCAUUGGCCGUCAUGCCUUGGAUCAUUAAGGACACUUUGGAACGGAGCUUUGCUAUUCUCUGAAGAUACACAAAAUCCUCCACUGCUCACGUCAUAAUCUAUUUACCAACUGUGGAAAAUUCCGCGGUGCCUGUGGUUUUUAAAGUGAUGCUGAAGCGAG